This 446-nucleotide ribosomal RNA is filed under the name uncultured bacterium. RNAcentral's name for it is "bacterial SSU rRNA". It matches the Rfam family "Bacterial small subunit ribosomal RNA", at positions 331 to 794 of the family's 1533-position model. The record is from RNAcentral.
CCAGACUCCUACGGGAGGCAGCAGUGGGGGAUAUUGCACAAUGGGGGAAACCCUGAUGCAGCGACGCCGCGUGAGUGAAGAAGUAUUUCGGUAUGUAAAGCUCUAUCAGCAGGGACGAAAAUGACGGUACCUGAGUAAGAAGCCCCGGCUAACUACGUGCCAGCAGCCGCGGUAAUACGUAGGGGGCAAGCGUUAUCCGGAAUUACUGGGUGUAAAGGGAGCGUAGACGGUGAAGUAAGUCUGGAGUGAAAGGCGGGGGCCCAACCCCGGACUGCUCUGGAAACUAUUUGACUGGAGUGCAGGAGAGGUAAGCGGAAUUCCUAGUGUAGCGGUGAAAUGCGUAGAUAUUAGGAGGAACACCAGUGGCGAAGGCGGCUUACUGGACUGUAACUGACGUUGAGGCUCGAAAGCGUGGGGAGCAAACAGGAUUAGAUACCCGAGUAUAU